UCAGCAGCCGUCACCUUCUCCUUUCGCACUAGAGCUCUGCUAGGGUUCCUCCCCAAGUCUCUCGAGCUAGCUCCGAGUCAGUUUCUACUCCACCUCCUUAGUGCGUACUAGAGCUGCUGUGCUCCUUGGUUACGCGUCGAACGUCCUGUACGAACCCAUUUCCAGAUGGGCGAGGUUCUCGUGGUCAACAAGGGAAUGGCGAUUCCGCUACUUAGCCAUCUGGGCUGGAUCUCAUACUUCUUUCCUUCAUGCUUUCUUUAGGGUUGUGGCCCCGGUAUUCGUGGUUAUUAGAUUGUAAACUUUUAGAUGAACCGUUAUCCUGCUUGUUGGCAUCGUGGUGUGCCUAGUUUUGUAGGGGUGAUG
Long non-coding RNA from Vigna unguiculata (cowpea), 363 nucleotides. The record is from RefSeq and is a predicted model, not a curated record. NCBI's taxonomy places the organism in Eukaryota, Viridiplantae, Streptophyta, Magnoliopsida, Fabales, Fabaceae.